AUGCUAAUACCGCAUAUACCCUGAGGGGGAAGAUUUAUCGCUUUAAGAUUGGCCCAUGGCAGAUUAGGUAGUUGGUGGUGUAAAGGCCUACCAAGCCGACGAUCUGUAGCUGGUCUGAGAGGACGAUCAGCCACAUUGGGACUGAGACACGGCCCAGACUCCUACGGGAGGCAGCAGUGAGGAAUAUUGGGCAAUGGGGGCAACCCUGACCCAGCCAUGCCGCGUGAGUGAAGAAGGUUUUCGAAUUGUAAAGCUCUUUCGGAUGUGACGAUGAUGACGGUAGCAUCUAAAGAAGCCCCGGCAAACUUCGUGCCAGCAGCCGCGGUAAUACGAAGGGGGCGAGCGUUGUUCGGAAUUACUGGGCGUAAAGGGUGUGUAGGUGGACGUGUAAGAUAGCGGUGAAAUGCCGGAGCUCAACUUCGGAAUUGCCAUUAUAACUAUGCGUCUAGAAUUAUAGAGAGGAUAGCGGAAUACCCAGUGUAGAGGUGAAAUUCGUAGAUAUUGGGUAGAACACCAGUGGCGAAGGCGGCUAUCUGGCUAUAUAUUGACACUGAGGCACGAAAGCAUGGGGAUCAAACAGGAUUAGAUACCCUGGUAGUCCAUGCCGUAAACGAUGAAUGCUGGUUGUCGGACGAAUGUUCGGUGACGAAGUUAACGCGAUAAGCAUUCCGCCUGGGGAG
RNAcentral lists this ribosomal RNA (680 nucleotides) under uncultured bacterium. RNAcentral describes it as "bacterial SSU rRNA". It matches the Rfam family "Bacterial small subunit ribosomal RNA", at positions 160 to 880 of the family's 1533-position model. The record is from RNAcentral.